This 71-nucleotide ribosomal RNA is filed under the name uncultured bacterium. RNAcentral describes it as "partial 16S ribosomal RNA". The record is from RNAcentral.
UGGACUUGACAUAUUCAUGAAAGCCCUGUGAAAGCAGAGCCCUCGACGACUUCGGUCAACGACAUGAUUAC